Molecule: RNA transcript, 2203 nt
Organism: Entelurus aequoreus (snake pipefish)
Lineage: Eukaryota; Metazoa; Chordata; Actinopteri; Syngnathiformes; Syngnathidae
Gene: asb15a
Gene name: ankyrin repeat and SOCS box containing 15a
Exons: 9
Source: RefSeq, a predicted model, not a curated record
AGGAUGAGACGGAGGAUUACGUCAUCCAGCGCAGCAUCCACGAGGCCUGCAAGGAAGCCUUCCUCAAAUCACCUGCCAGCUUGGCCCCGCCCACCGCUGAGAACCUGAGAGUGCUGGCGGCCAUCGAGCAAGGCGAGGCGUCCGCGCUGAGGGACAUGCUGAGACACGCGCACGCCUUGGCGGAGGCGGACAGUCGCGGCUGGCUGCCCCUCCAUCGAGCCGCUUCCCAGCCCAAUCUGGACGUCCUGGAGGCCGUCUUGACACGCGGGGGGCUGAACCUGGAGGAGAGGACGGGGGUGGGCGGAGAGACGGCGCUCACCUUGGCGGUCAAAGGCGGCCUGGCGAGCAACGUGAGCGCCCUGCUGGUGGGCGGGGCGUCGCCGAACACCGCCAACGCCACGAACGAGUCUCCCCUGUUGCUAGGUAACCAACUCGCUCCGCCCCCUGUCGCUAACCAAACCGCGAGCACAAGUCAGCGUGUCUCUUCCACGAGGUCAGCGGUGAGGGCGGGGUCGUACGCGAUGGCGUCGGCGCUGGUGUCGCACGGCGCCUGGGUGGAGCAGGUGUGCCGGAAGAAUUGGAGCACCGUGCACGAGGCGGCCAAGGCGGGUCACGUGGACGUCCUGAUGCUCCUGCUGAGGAACGGCGGACGCGUCAACCAGAAGGACGUCGCCGGGGUGACGCCGCUGGCCGUGGCCGCCGAGCACGGACACUUCGCCGUCACGGAAAUUCUGCUCAACUGUGGCAGCAGAGUCAACGCUCAGGCUUGCAACGGCGAGAGUGUCCUGCUGGAUGCCGCCGGCACAGGAAACACUUCCUGCAUCCAACUGCUGCUGGACAACGGAGCCGACCCCAACCUGGCCAGCGCCCACGGACACCUGCCCCUCCACAAGGCCGCCUACGCCGGACACUACGAAGCGUUGAAGCUGCUCAUCCCGCUGACCAGCAAGGCGGCCAUCAAGGAGGCGGGGCUAAGUCCUCUCCACACGGCGUCAGAGGGCGGCCAGAGUGGAUGUUUGCAGCUUUUGUUGUCGCGAGGCUUCGACGUCAACUUCCGCUUGAGCAGCAGGAAGUCAGAGAACUACCGCGACAUGAGGAGGAGCGCUUUGUACUUUGCCGUUUCCAACGGAGACGCCGAGUGCGCCAGAGUCCUGCUGGCGGCGGGGGCCAGGACCGACCUGGACCCUCUCUGCUGCCUCCUGGUGGCCGUGCGCUCGGGACGCUACGACAUGGUGAGGCUGCUGCUGGACGCCAACGCCGACGUCAACUGUCACUUUGGCGCGGUGAGCGACACUUCCUUCCCCACCGCGCUGCAGUACUGCCUGAAGGACCAGGUGAUGAUGAGGAUGCUCCUCAACCACGGCUACCAGGCGGAGAGAUGCUUCCGCUGUCACCAUGACAACGCCUGCCAGGGAACGGAGGAGGCGGAGGACAAAAUUCCUUUUUGUGACUUCAUGAGCUUGUGCUGCCUGGUCCACCUGGCUGGAGGUGUGGUCAGGACUCUGCUGGACUACUUGGACCAGGUCCACAUCUGCUCCAAGCUCAGACACGUCUUGGAGAAACAACCUGAGUGGACGCAAAUAUUGGACAUUCUGUUCCUCGCUCCCUGGGACACCUGUGCAGGUUGUCCAUCAGAAGACGUUUGACCCUCAAGAGGCUCAACAACACAGAGGUCAUGAACUCUGACCUGUUCCCUCCCGGCCUAAGAAGUUUCAUCCUGUACCGCGACCUUGACCUCUACAAGGACAAACAUUGAAUGACUUGAUGACAGCGUGUACAAUUAAGGUAAAGUACAAAUACUCACCUGAUGAAGACGGAGAUCAUGGAACAGGAAGUGGUUUCCAGAGCGAUACUGUCCCCUGGUGGUCUUUUAUCCACACGGCAGGAAGUAGCCCCAAGAGAACAAGCCAGACUGUCCUGUUCUAUGGUUAUCAUCACACGUUCCCUCGUCGCCCCCCUCUUGUGACGGCAUCAUAAAAAAGCCAAAGAAAAAGCCCAACACACCUGGCGUAGCAGUAGUUUAAUUGGAGUUGUGUUCGCCCAUUUGCUGCCCCCUGCUGGUCACUACUUCACUUUCCUUCUUCGCGUUGAACUUGACUGAAUGACUUUCAGGUGGCGGACAUGAAGAUGAAUUCACAGAUUACAACAUUUUGGCAAAGUAUUUCCAUUGUUUGUUGUAUCAAAAUGAACUUUUCUUACCGUU